GAGACAGUGAAACGUAUUGUAAAAGAAGUAUGUAACAAAUUACCAAAAGGUGUGAAAGAUGAAUGUUCACAAUUUAUAGAUUCAUAUGGAGAUGCUGUUAUUGCUAUAUUAAUUCAAGGAAUCGAUCCAGCCCAUGUAUGUGAAAUGUUACGUCUAUGCCCCAGCAAAAGCUUUAUGAAAUUAUGGGAAAGUGUUCCAGCAAAAUAUACACUUGAAGAAAAAAGGGUUAGUAAUAAACCUAGUUGCCCGCUUUGUUUGCUGGCUAUAACAAAAGUUUAUAAUGAAAUUAAAAAUAAUAAGACUGAGG
Megalopta genalis is the source of this 307-nucleotide non-coding RNA. NCBI's taxonomy places the organism in Eukaryota, Metazoa, Arthropoda, Insecta, Hymenoptera, Halictidae. The record is from RefSeq and is a predicted model, not a curated record.